CGGGUAGAGCAGAGCCGGAGCCAGGUGCAGGCCAUUGGAGAGAAGGUCUCCUUGGCCCAGGCCAAGAUUGAGAAGAUCAAGGGCAGCAAGAAGGCCAUCAAGGUGUUCUCCAGUGCCAAGUACCCUGCUCCAGAGCGCCUGCAGGAAUAUGGCUCCAUCUUCACGGGCGCCCAGGACCCUGGCCUGCAGAGACGCCCCCGCCACAGGAUCCAGAGCAAGCACCGCCCCCUGGAUGAGCGGGCCCUGCAGGUCUGCUGGCCGCGCACAUAACUUAGCCUGUCACACACCAGGAGGACUGGAUACUGGGGAGGAGCCGGGGCCACCAAGGGUUCUGUCCCC
RNAcentral lists this small RNA (339 nucleotides) under Pan troglodytes (chimpanzee). RNAcentral describes it as "processed transcript". Lineage: Eukaryota; Metazoa; Chordata; Mammalia; Primates; Hominidae. The record is from RNAcentral.